This is a long non-coding RNA of Pseudophryne corroboree (corroboree frog), 558 nucleotides long. RefSeq lists it as uncharacterized. The record is from RefSeq and is a predicted model, not a curated record. NCBI's taxonomy places the organism in Eukaryota, Metazoa, Chordata, Amphibia, Anura, Myobatrachidae. The transcript has 3 exons.
UAAUUUAUUUAUCAAUAUCUAUUGUAUUAACUCAGCAUUCUGAAACUAAUUGGUAAAUUGCUGAGAAUUGAGGUAUAUAUGUUAUUAAUCCAGCACUUUAUAACUGUUGUGCAGCUACUGAGUAAUUGAGGUAUGAUAAAUUGCUUUGCUUCUGUUUUUGAGUGAUCAACACAUGACUAUUUGAUAUAGAGCAAUUGUGUCACUUUUGGGCAAUUGUGUCUAAAUACCAGGGUCGCAUACCCCUGCAUUUAGUAUACAUGUGUGUGAUCUAAUAUUAACUAACCAUUUUCUUACACAGGUGGCGAUAUCACACGGCCGGUGGAUGAUAUGUUUAUGUCCACCGCUAACAGCCCUACAGAUAUCUUUCGUUGACAACAGGGACCCAUACUGCUGUACAGGUUGCCGGCGGUCAGGAAACCAGCGCCAGAAUCCUGAAACCUGUCAGAAUGCCGCCGCCGGAAUCCGGACAACAGGAAUCUCAAAUAUGGAAUCCACCAUGUACAUUUUGUUAGAGGUGGAAACUCUUCAGGUUUGGCAGGAAAGAGGCGCAAGGAGAUA